GGGAACCAACGAAUAAAUCGUGGGAAACCCUGUAAUAAUAAUAUUUUCUUUCGAAACAAGCAUACCCACAUCCAAGCGUCAAACAUCUUUAAAACACGCUUGAAAUUGGAUGAUGAAGCUAUUUAUUGCCACUCUCUCUCUUGGCAUGCGGCUAAAAUAGGCACAUUCCUGCCGGCCUCAUCACAACCGACUGGCGAAGCGCAAACUACCAAGUAAAACAAAAGCUCUCGAGGAAGGGCGUCUGGAAGGAAAAAAAAGUCUUCCAAUUGCCCUUCACCAUCCCUGCCCACCAGAGUGGGGGUGUCGCAUCGCCUACUCACCUCGGGCCCCGGGUGAAAGCAGUAACAAAUGAGCUUGCCGAUUUGACAUAGCUUCGCCACUUCUCCGUUUUCCUUUUAACGCAACGCAAAAGAAAACAGUGCAGUAUCUGCGCCAAAAGCAGCGAACCCAGAACAAAGAUCCCAGACGAAGAUAAAGUUCAUUAAUCAACGCGCGUAAAUAAGUGUGCACCAUCGGGUUUGCGUUCUAGUCGUGAAAUAAGAAACAACCGACAUUCCUUCCCCCGCAAACCGGCUGAACGAGAACAUGAGGCUGGAGGCUGGGGAUGAGGAUGAUUGCUGGAAAUUUUUCUCUCCAUUUGCAACCAUAAAGACAUCGACCGAGUAAAUCACUGAACUUGCGAGACCGGAGCGGAGAUUGAGAGAGACAGAAAGAGCGUGAGAGACAGAAAGUCAUCGAAUUACGCUGCUCGUCCGAUCAAGGUCGGAUGGUUAUAGGAAGGAACAAAUACCGUCGGCUAUAAAUUGUUUAAUCUUCAUUCAUCGGCGACAAUGAAUGCCGCUAGAUUA
Anopheles merus is the source of this 848-nucleotide long non-coding RNA. RefSeq lists it as uncharacterized. The record is from RefSeq and is a predicted model, not a curated record. Lineage: Eukaryota; Metazoa; Arthropoda; Insecta; Diptera; Culicidae. The transcript has 2 exons.